RNAcentral lists this long non-coding RNA (824 nucleotides) under Homo sapiens (human). RNAcentral describes it as "HSALNT0361244". The record is from RNAcentral. Lineage: Eukaryota; Metazoa; Chordata; Mammalia; Primates; Hominidae.
GGUAAGGGAUGCUGCCCUCUCCCAGGGCCUGUGAGCCCCACCUGGCACAGGGAUGUGCCAGCUUAGAUCCAGUCCACGAGGGUAGGAAGGAAAGCAACGAGGCUGCCUUUGAAGGGGGAGAGCACCAUGCCCAGACUAGGGACAGCACCCUUUGUAGCUAAUCUGAGAGGACAACCCAAAAAGAUGAAGCAUCCUGGCCAGCAGGGGGAGCUGGGGCCACACUGGGGCAGGGGCAUUUGCCUGCCCCAGAGUUGGGAAUGAGCAGGGAUAGACUGAGAGUAGUCACAGCGGCUCAGGCCUCAUCUCCGCAGAGGCGACCAGCCUCCAAUCCUCCCACAAUGGAGAGAGCCCUAUGGAGGGGACAGGACAGGUCUGGUCACUUGAAAGGACUAUCUGGGCCUUGAAGCAAGUGGACACAUGCUCGUUUUCUAGUCAUUAGGUCAGUUCCCUGAGUCUACAUGGAUUCAACAUGAAAUGCUGUCUUGGGAAGCUGCCCCUUAGGGAAACUACCCUUGGAACUUCUCUAAAUUUCUCCCCCAAAGUUCUAUGAGGCCCAGGGAUGAGAAGACUUCUCAAGACCUCAACUGCCUCCUCUGACCAACCCAGACCCUCACCUGCCUCACCCUGCACAGACCCAGACUGCGAGCUCUGGACGAAACUGAAGGGAGGCAGACAGGAGUGUGGGGCCGUCUGAAGCCAGAGGGAUGAGGAGAGGUCCAUCUAUAAAGCUGAAAAAGAACCCCUCCCUCCCCAUCAUAUGCUGCUUUCUCUGCCUCUAGUUUUAUCCCCUCCCAUUUGCUCUCCACAGAGUAAACCAAAUGGUC